Molecule: ribosomal RNA, 383 nt
Filed under: uncultured eukaryote
Lineage: Eukaryota
Description: partial 18S ribosomal RNA
Rfam family: Eukaryotic small subunit ribosomal RNA
Source: RNAcentral
CAAUAGCGUAUAUUAAAGUUGUUGCAGUUAAAAAGCUCGUAGUUGGAUUUCUGGUGGGAGCGAUCGGUCUGGCGCUUAGCGCGAGUACUUGCAUCGUCUCCGGCCAUCCUUGGGGAGAGUCUGUCUGGCAUUAAGUUGUCGGGCAGAGGAUCCUCAUCGUUUACUGUGAAAAAAUUAGAGUGUUCAAAGCAGGCUUAUGCCGUUGAAUAUAUUAGCAUGGAAUAAUAAGAUAGGACUUUGGUACUAUUUUGUUGGUUUGCGCACCAAAGUGAUGAUUAAUAGGGACAGUUGGGGGUAUUCGUAUUCCGUUGUCAGAGGUGAAAUUCUUGGAUUUACGGAAGACGAACUACUGCGAAAGCAUUUACCAAGGAUGUUUUCAUUAA